This 466-nucleotide ribosomal RNA is filed under the name Vreelandella stevensii. RNAcentral's name for it is "partial 16S ribosomal RNA". It matches the Rfam family "Bacterial small subunit ribosomal RNA", at positions 338 to 795 of the family's 1533-position model. Lineage: Bacteria; Pseudomonadati; Pseudomonadota; Gammaproteobacteria; Oceanospirillales; Halomonadaceae. The record is from RNAcentral.
CCUACGGGAGGCAGCAGUGGGGAAUAUUGGACAAUGGGCGAAAGCCUGAUCCAGCCAUGCCGCGUGUGUGAAGAAGGCCUUCGGGUUGUAAAGCACUUUCAGUGGGGAAGAAAGCCUUGGGGCUAAUACCCUCGAGGAAGGACAUCACCCACAGAAGAAGCACCGGCUAACUCCGUGCACAGCAGCCGCGGUAAUACGGAGGGUGCGAGCGUUAAUCGGAAUUACUGGGCGUAAAGCGCGCGUAGGCGGUCUGAUAAGCCGGUUGUGAAAGCCCCGGGCUCAACCUGGGAACGGCAUCCGGAACUGUCAGGCUAGAGUGCAGGAGAGGAAGGUAGAGUUCCCGGUGUAGCGGUGAAAUGCGUAGAGAUCGGGAGGAAUACCAGUGGCGAAGGCGGCCUUCUGGACUGACACUGACGCUGAGGUGCGAAAGCGUGGGUAGCAAACAGGAUUAGAUACCCCAGUAGUC